GAUGAACGCUGGCGGCGUGCCUAAUACAUGCAAGUCGAGCGAACAGACGAGGAGCUUGCUCCUCUGACGUUAGCGGCGGACGGGUGAGUAACACGUGGAUAACCUACCUAUAAGACUGGGAUAACUUCGGGAAACCGGAGCUAAUACCGGAUAAUAUAUUGAACCGCAUGGUUCAAUAGUGAAAGACGGUUUUGCUGUCACUUAUAGAUGGAUCCGCGCCGCAUUAGCUAGUUGGUAAGGUAACGGCUUACCAAGGCAACGAUGCGUAGCCGACCUGAGAGGGUGAUCGCCCACACGGGAACUGAGACACGGUCCAGACUCCUACGGGAGGCAGCAGUAGGGAAUCUUACGCAAUGGGCGAAAGCCUGACGGAGCAACGCCGCGUGAGUGAUGAAGGUCUUCGGAUCGUAAAACUCUGUUAUUAGGGAAGAACAAAUGUGUAAGUAACUAUGCACGUCUUGACGGUACCUAAUCAGAAAGCCACGGCUAACUACGUG
RNAcentral lists this ribosomal RNA (497 nucleotides) under uncultured bacterium. RNAcentral's name for it is "partial 16S ribosomal RNA". It matches the Rfam family "Bacterial small subunit ribosomal RNA", at positions 28 to 507 of the family's 1533-position model. The record is from RNAcentral.